RNAcentral lists this ribosomal RNA (795 nucleotides) under uncultured Pelagibacteraceae bacterium. Its description in RNAcentral is "bacterial SSU rRNA". It matches the Rfam family "Bacterial small subunit ribosomal RNA", at positions 44 to 887 of the family's 1533-position model. The record is from RNAcentral. Lineage: Bacteria; Pseudomonadati; Pseudomonadota; Alphaproteobacteria; Candidatus Pelagibacterales; Candidatus Pelagibacteraceae.
ACGCCUAACACAUGCAAGUCGAACGAAGUAGCAAUACUUAGUGGCAGACGGGUGAGUAACAUGUAGGUAUCUACCCUUUGGCCUGGAAUAACACGAGGAAACUUGUGCUAAUACCGGAUAAGUCUUUACGGAGAAAGCUUUAUGCACCAUUGGAUGAGCCUGCACUUGAUUAGUUUGUUGGUGGGGUAAUGGCCUACCAAGACUGUGAUCAAUAGCUGAUUUGAGAGGAUGAUCAGCCACAUUGGGACUGAGACACGGCCCAAACUCCUACGGGAGGCAGCAGUGGGGAAUCUUGCACAAUGGAGGAAACUCUGAUGCAGCGAUGCCGCGUGAGUGAAGAAGGCCCUUGGGUUGUAAAGCUCUUUCGUCGGGGAAGAAAAUGACUGUACCCGAAUAAGAAGGUCCGGCUAACUUCGUGCCAGCAGCCGCGGUAAUACGAAGGGACCUAGCGUAGUUCGGAAUUACUGGGCUUAAAGAGUUCGUAGGUGGUUGAAAAAGUUGGUGGUGAAAUCCCAGAGCUUAACUCUGGAACUGCCAUCAAAACUUUUCAGCUAGAGUUUGAUAGAGGAAAGCAGAAUUUCUAGUGUAGAGGUGAAAUUCGUAGAUAUUAGAAAGAAUACCAAUUGCGAAGGCAGCUUUCUGGAUCAUUACUGACACUGAGGAACGAAAGCAUGGGUAGCGAAGAGGAUUAGAUACCCUCGUAGUCCAUGCCGUAAACGAUGUGUGUUAGACGUUGGAAAUUUAUUUUCAGUGUCGCAGCGAAAGCGAUAAACACACCGCCUGGGGAGUACGACC